Molecule: ribosomal RNA, 253 nt
Filed under: uncultured bacterium
Lineage: Bacteria
Description: partial 16S ribosomal RNA
Rfam family: Bacterial small subunit ribosomal RNA
Source: RNAcentral
UACGUAGGGUGCAAGCGUUGUCCGGAAUUAUUGGGCGUAAAGAGCUCGUAGGCGGUCUGUCACGUCGGCUGUGAAAACCCGAGGCUCAACCUCGGGCCUGCAGUCGAUACGGGCAAACUAGAGUGUUGCAGGGGAGACUGGAAUUCCUGGUGUAGCGGUGAAAUGCGCAGAUAUCAGGAAGAACACCCGUGGCGAAGGCGGCUCUCUGGGACGGUACUGACGCUGAGACGCGAAAGCGUGGGGAGCGAACAGG